RNAcentral lists this ribosomal RNA (408 nucleotides) under uncultured microorganism. RNAcentral describes it as "bacterial SSU rRNA". It matches the Rfam family "Archaeal small subunit ribosomal RNA", at positions 330 to 745 of the family's 1478-position model. The record is from RNAcentral.
GCGCACCAGUCGAGAACCUCCGCAAUACACGAAAGUGUGACGGGCCAUCCCGAGUGCCGUCCGCUGAGGACGGCUUUCCCCAGUGUACAUAGCUGGGGAAUAAGGAGAGGGCAAGCCUGGUGUCAGCCGCCGCGGUAAUACCAGCUCUCCGAGUGGUGGGGACGCUUAUUGGGCCUAAAGCAUCCGUAGCCGGCUGGGCAAGUCCUCCGUUAAAUCCAACGAUUCAAUCGUUGGGCUGCGGGGAUACUGUCCAGCUUGGGGGCGGGAGAGGCCGACGGUAUUCCCGGGGUAGGGGUGAAAUCCUAUAAUCCCGGGAGGACCACCAGUGGCGAAGGCUGUCGGCUAGAACGCGCCCGACGGUGAGGGAUGAAAGCUGGGGGAGCGAACCGGAUUAGAUACCCGGGUAGU